GUUAAGGUGACAGAGCCUGGUAAUUGUAAAAGAUCUAAACUCUUUAUUUCAGAGGUUCAAAUCCUCUCCUUAACU
RNAcentral lists this transfer RNA (75 nucleotides) under Hemiscyllium ocellatum (epaulette shark). RNAcentral describes it as "tRNA-Leu". It matches the Rfam family "tRNA". From Rfam's summary of the family: Transfer RNA (tRNA) molecules are approximately 80 nucleotides in length. RNAcentral also lists the same sequence under 7 other names. Lineage: Eukaryota; Metazoa; Chordata; Chondrichthyes; Orectolobiformes; Hemiscylliidae. The record is from RNAcentral.